CUUAAAUCUUCUUCUCCGUCUGAUUUUCUUUCGACAUCGAGUUUGCUGCUACUUAAGUGAUGGCUGGGCAGGUUGAAAUUUAUGACAUUGCUUGGCAUAUCAACUCCAAGCUAUCUAAGACAAGGUGAGUCCGAAUAAAAUUUGGGAAAACUCAACCUCAAUCUUCCUCUUCCUCGUUGCCAACGGAUCACACAAUAAAACUCAGAUGUUGUGACGGGUUGGGGUAAAGAAUUAGGCCAAGUACAAUCCUAAUAUACUAUUUUGGAGUCUAUUUAUUUGGCUACUUGAAUUUGUAAUAUUUUCAUUGUAUCUGGAGAUUGUAAUUUUUAAAAAAAAAAUUUAAUAUACAUGAUGACUUAAGAUUUGAGAUUUA
Molecule: long non-coding RNA, 373 nt
Organism: Prunus dulcis (almond)
Lineage: Eukaryota; Viridiplantae; Streptophyta; Magnoliopsida; Rosales; Rosaceae
Exons: 2
Source: RefSeq, a predicted model, not a curated record